RNAcentral lists this ribosomal RNA (393 nucleotides) under uncultured bacterium. RNAcentral's name for it is "partial 16S ribosomal RNA". It matches the Rfam family "Bacterial small subunit ribosomal RNA", at positions 523 to 918 of the family's 1533-position model. The record is from RNAcentral.
AUACGGAGGAUCCGAGCGUUAUCCGGAUUUAUUGGGUUUAAAGGGUGCGCAGGCGGGAGAUUAAGUCGGCGGUGAAAUUUUGCAGCUCAACUGUAAAAGUGCCUUCGAAACUGGUUUCCUUGAGUGUAGAUGAAGUAGGCGGAAUUUGUGGUGUAGCGGUGAAAUGCAUAGAUAGCACGAGGAACUCCGAUUGCGCAGGCAGCUUACUAAACUACUACUGACGCUCAGGCACGAAGGCGUGGGGAUCAAACAGGAUUAGAUACCCUGGUAGGCCACGCAGUAAACGAUGAUUACUAGCUGUUUGCGAUACAAUGUAAGCGGCUGAGCGAAAGCGUUAAGUAAUCCACCUGGGGAGUACGUUCGCAAGAAUGAAACUCAAAUGAAUUGACGGGG